RNAcentral lists this ribosomal RNA (278 nucleotides) under uncultured Dysgonomonas sp. RNAcentral describes it as "partial 16S ribosomal RNA". It matches the Rfam family "Bacterial small subunit ribosomal RNA", at positions 69 to 339 of the family's 1533-position model. The record is from RNAcentral. Lineage: Bacteria; Pseudomonadati; Bacteroidota; Bacteroidia; Bacteroidales; Dysgonomonadaceae.
ACAAAGAAAGUAGCAAUACUUUUUUGGUGGCGACCGGCGCACGGGUGAGUAACGCGUAUGCAACCUACCUACUACUUUGGGAUAGCUCGUUGAAAGACGAAUUAAUACCUUAUAAUACAGGGACUCCGCAUGGAGAUAUUUGUUAAAGAUUUAUUGGUAGUAGAUGGGCAUGCGUUCCAUUAGCUUGUUGGUGAGGUAACUGCUCACCAAGGCAUCGAUGGAUAGGGGAACUGAGAGGUUUGUCCCCCACACUGGAACUGAGACACGGUCCAGACUCC